GGGCUCUUAGCUCAGUUGGUUAGAGCGCCUCGUUUACACCGAGGAGGUCAGAGGUUCGAGUCCCCUAGAGCCCACAA
This 77-nucleotide transfer RNA is filed under the name Candidatus Levybacteria bacterium RBG_16_35_11. RNAcentral's name for it is "tRNA-Val". It matches the Rfam family "tRNA". From Rfam's summary of the family: Transfer RNA (tRNA) molecules are approximately 80 nucleotides in length. Lineage: Bacteria; Candidatus Levyibacteriota. The record is from RNAcentral.